UUGACAAAACGUUGCUAGAGAUAGUAUAUUACAACGGUUCCAACCGUUGCCAAAAGGUUUUGGUGCUACCAAUACGGUUUACUAAUCAAACCGUUGCCACUAUACAAAAACCGUUGCUGUAGGUACAUCUAUUGCAACAGUUAUAUCAAACAUUGCUAUUAAUGUUAUCUGUGGCAACAAUUCAUGAAAUUUUUAUCUAUUGGGACGGUUUUAAUUCCCUCUACACAUUCCCUGCUCUAAUUUUUGUUGAACCCGCCAAAAUCCUUUUAUGAUUAUUUUCUUUUUACUUUUGUUUCAUUUCAUAGAUUUAUAUGACAUAAAAUAAAAAUGAUGUUUCUUCUAAUCAUCUAAACCAAAUUUCUUUUCUCCGUCAAAGCCCUCACUUUGCCACCGUCCUUUCUCACUCAUCUUCUUUGAUGAAGUAACUUUUCACCUUCUCUGUUUAUUUAUAUUAUUGUUUGGUUCAAUUAAAUUCUAGGGCUGAAGUUGCUGAAUGGUUCAAAGAAGUGAUUUUCUAAGAAAUCUAAGAAGACUUUGUUGAGAAAUCAUUAGCUGAAGAAAUUGUAAUAUAUGACUUACUUGAGAAGUCAUCAAGUGACUUGUAGUACAGAGAGGAACAAGAGCAAGGAAUAAUGGUUCCUGGCCUUAGAUGUAUCAAGGUUUGUCCCGUGGUUAUCUUUUAAUACUUUAUCUUCCUCAUGGACUGCUACAUUUUAGAUCAUUGGACUUAGCAUCUGCAGCCCAUCUUCUCUUUUUUGUUCAUUUAAAUUUGGGGAACAGCAGGCGAAAAACAGAUAGUACAGAGGUCAAUAAAAAUUCAUCACGGAAGGAAGACUUAGACACAGACUUCUUACAUCCUCUAUAGUUCAUAAAAAGUGAAGCUUACCAUCGUUUAUCAGACAUGAAUCACAUACAAAGACUACAGCUAAAAGAAAUUGGGGUGGUUCUUGAUAGUUCUGCCUUUUGUUAUAAAUAUCCGAGGAAUCUUUAACUAGCUCAAUUUCUUGAUCAUGUCACCUUGUUAAUGGCAUGGAAAUACUGAUAUUUUCUAAGCAGCUAAAGAACACAAUAGCAUUGGCUACAAGCUGUAAGUUCUCUUUUUGCUUUAUUUCAUCCUAAAUAGCAGUAUAUCUCUUGAUUUUUAUUUUAGCUCAUUUGGUCAAGCUGAUGUGAUUUUGUCUCUUGUUCUUCUUCCUGUUAUGAAUAAUAGUUGUGUCAUGGAAAAUUAAAUAGUGCCUUUCAUAGAAUCUUUUUUAAAAUUUAGAUAUGUACUUCUGGGUCUAGCAUUAUGUAGCAUAUAACUUUUUGCAUGAAUGUGGUUAGAGUUGUUCAUGUUCACAAACCAUGUUGGGUUAGGUGCUCUUUGUUUUUUGCCUGAAUAUUGGCAAUGAUACAAUUAGAGGUGUAGCCUAUCAAUAUUAGGUAUAAAAGGAAGACAUUGCACUAUGUAAUUCCUAAUGAGAAUGCUAAAAGUAUAAUUGAAAAUCGUAUUUUGUUGUCUCAUCUCACUCAUUGCCUUCUUAGCUGUUCAAAUGAUUUCCUGUCAACUGCUUUAGUUGCAUUUCGGACGGAGUUGGGAACUUAUUGCACUAAAAGAUAUUUAAAAUUUAGAGAGGAUGACAUAAAUUAUAUGCUCAAUAAAGUUCUAUAUAAUGUAAUCCUGUAAACUUUAAGGUUUUGGAUUUGCUUUUGUCAAUUGCGGCAGUAAAAUAUUUGUUGUGUUUUUGUCAUGGUUGUUAAGUACUGUUGAGUGUUGAUAAAAUAUUGCAGGAAUCUUUAUGUCUUUCUUGAUCACAAGUAAUAGUAGUGGAAAUUCAUGCAUACAUUAAAUGAUUCUCUCUUAUGUUUACUCUAUUUUCAUACAUUGAAGAAGAAUUGACUUUGUUGUGAAGGGAAACUAGAUAGCAACAUAAGAAGUAAAGAUCUACUUGUCAAAAGACAUAUGAAAUUUUGGAAAAAAUUCCAUGUGCAGGCAAAUCAAUUGGUGAAGAUCUUGACAUGGUAGAAUUAGGUGGGUUAUGUAGUUUGUAUGGUGUUGAUUUAUUAGACAAUUUGAAUGUAGAAUGAAUACUUUCUCUCUUAAUUGAAAUCUUAUUUGAAAAUUGCUGAACAAGUCAAAUUGGUAUGUCUGUUAGAGGCAUAAAGUUUCAUGGUUAUUCUAUAACUUUAUACUGCUUCAAGCAAGUUGCAAAAAAUUAAUAAUGCCAAGGUGCAAUAGAGAUUAUAACUGGUGUUUGGCUUUCUUUACAAAGAAGAACUUCUGCAAGUGUUUGGCAGACCUACUUUGGUUAAGGUGUCAUACUCUUUUCAUGAUGGACUUUGCUUCUUUCUAUUAAUCUUAUAUCUUGUUGCAGGUAUGACCAGUUGUUUUUUCCUUUUAUAAGCAUCAGUCUCUCCCUCUUUAGAUAGUACCAACUUCUUGUUGCUUGUAGUAUUAUCCACAAAUUCUUGUACUAGAUUUUCAAAGGUAUUUUUUUCUGUGCCAUUUACACCAUGAUAUUGCCUAGUAUUAUUUCCACUCUCAACAGUUUGUUUCCUUUUCCCAUUCAAGAUUUGACGCAGAUCACCUUUAAUUUAACUCUUUAUUUUGGUUAAUAACUUUUUUUAUCGUCUUUUGCAGGUGGAGAAAAUGAAGAAGAGAAAGAUGAACGCAUUGAAGAUCUUACUUGAGAAAAUUGGUUGAAAGUUGUAGAAACUUCAAAUAUUCUAGCUCUAAUAUUUUGUUUUCCAACAUAUUGGGACUUGUUUUGUUUUCUAACAUUUUGAAACAUGUGCUAACUCUUGAAAACAAUUUUUGUAUAUUUUGUUUCUAUAGAUAUUAUGAGCUAUGAUUCCGCUUAUUAAUUGUUUCAACUUUCGAGAUUAUUUUAUUUGGUGGGUAACAACGUUGUUCCAAAUAAUUGCACUGGAUUUUUGUACAAAAAAAAAGAUCGUUGCAAUAGACAAAAACCAUUGCAAUAAAGGAAAAGCCUGUUGCAAUAACCUCUACGAAACCGUUGCAAUAGCCUCAAAAGUCGUUGCUUAAAGGGCUAUGGGGACGGUUGGAAACCGUUCCAAAUAACACAAAACAUCGUUGCAUCAGAAAGAAGAACAACCGUUGCUGUAGAUAUGGCUAUGGCAACGUGUUU
Molecule: long non-coding RNA, 3128 nt
Organism: Lycium barbarum (goji berry)
Lineage: Eukaryota; Viridiplantae; Streptophyta; Magnoliopsida; Solanales; Solanaceae
Exons: 3
Source: RefSeq, a predicted model, not a curated record